This 253-nucleotide ribosomal RNA is filed under the name uncultured bacterium. RNAcentral's name for it is "partial 16S ribosomal RNA". It matches the Rfam family "Bacterial small subunit ribosomal RNA", at positions 524 to 776 of the family's 1533-position model. The record is from RNAcentral.
UACGUAGGGGGCAAGCGUUGUCCGGAAUCAUUGGGCGUAAAGAGCGUGUAGGCGGUUUGUCGCGUCUGCUGUGAAAUUUCGGGGCUCAACCCCGAACUUGCAGUGGGUACGGGCAGACUAGAGUGUGGUAGGGGAGACUGGAAUUCCUGGUGUAGCGGUGAAAUGCGCAGAUAUCAGGAGGAACACCGAUGGCGAAGGCAGGUCUCUGGGCCAUAACUGACGCUGAGAAGCGAAAGCAUGGGGAGCGAACAGG